RNAcentral lists this ribosomal RNA (253 nucleotides) under uncultured bacterium. RNAcentral's name for it is "partial 16S ribosomal RNA". It matches the Rfam family "Bacterial small subunit ribosomal RNA", at positions 524 to 776 of the family's 1533-position model. The record is from RNAcentral.
UACGUAAGGUGCGAGCGUUAAUCGGAAUUACUGGGCGUAAAGCGUGCGCAGGCGGUUUUGUAAGUCAGAUGUGAAAUCCCCGGGCUCAACCUGGGAACUGCGUUUGAAACUACAAGGCUAGAGUGUAGCAGAGGGGGGUAGAAUUCCACGUGUAGCAGUGAAAUGCGUAGAGAUGUGGAGGAAUACCAAUGGCGAAGGCAGCCCCCUGGGUUAACACUGACGCUCAUGCACGAAAGCGUGGGGAGCAAACAGG